GAUCAUCACUGGUUGGGGACCAGCGUGGCUGCUUAAAUUGUCCAUCCUAGUGUUUGUCAAGAAGGGGCUUGGCUCCAGGGAAGAUCAAACCCUCCAACGUGACAGUUAAUGAAACAAGGAAAAAGAAGAGGGAAACUAUCAGUCCCAGCCAGCCAACACUAACAGAGUCCUAAGGCAGCUGGAGAUGCCAAGUUGGCUGGUGCGGUGUUGUGAAACCAUUGCCUGAAGCCUACUCAAAG
RNAcentral lists this long non-coding RNA (239 nucleotides) under Phasianus colchicus (ring-necked pheasant). RNAcentral's name for it is "lncRNA (ENSPCLG00000007981.1)". Lineage: Eukaryota; Metazoa; Chordata; Aves; Galliformes; Phasianidae. The record is from RNAcentral.